CGAGCCGAUUCGCUUAGAAAAAUAACGCCGGGAAUAAUAUACAAAGAAAAGAUUUUUCGAUGAAAAUCACCGGGUGGCGGUUGGUGCUGACGGCUGCGGCGUUCUUUGUCUCUUCAUGACACGCCGAGUACAACGGUGAAGGAUUAGGUCAGCUGUCAGGCCGACCAAGUUUUGCAAGCCGGUCAAGUAAACAUUCAUUCCAAUUUCCAAAAGUAUUGGCCACGUCGAUGACAAAAAUUGACAAUGAUCUUAAUUAUUUUCCAUCACGUUCAAUGGAGAAAAGCAAUCGUUUGAUUCAAGUUCAGUUGGAUUUCAUCAGUUUUUAAUUGUUUUUGUUUUUUCCACUGACAAACUGGAGCCUUCUUCGAAAUUGCAUUAUAUUGGCCAAUGUUCUUUUUGCUGCAGGUAUGUGAAACCAUUUCUGUGUUGAUCGUUAACCGCGAAAUGAGAGGGCUCGGUUCGUCACGGAAUAAUCAGCUAGCCAUUUGUAAUCGGAACGGUCGUGUACUGAGGCGGCUCAUUAUUUUCGCUCGCCUUCCAGCCCCUCUGCCUGCCAUUCUACCUGUGCAAUAAUUAGAAUUCGAAUAAACGCAAAUCACGUCCAAAAAAGGGCAGCACACAUUUAGAAGGGCUCGAGACAACUUCUAUACGAUACCGUUAAAGCAGACGAUAGAAGAAGAAGAAGAAAAAAAAGAAAGAAACACGAUUAGUUAUAUGCACCUUCUGGCUGAUGGCGUGAUGAAACUUCAUUUCAGUAUACCACUCUUGGAGCGGGUAAAUAGCAUAUGCAACAAAACUAUGCUGGAUUCGGUCGUGAGGCAGAUGUGGGUCAUCGACGGAACAUGUUCUAUCUUACCCUCCGGGGCUUCAUAUACGUAAUCCGCCAGUUUUGGCUGAAGGAAAGAGCUCGUUGCUAAGAGAGAUUAAAUGCACCAGACGAAGAAUGCGGAAAUCUGCCACAACUGUUGCCAGUAUAUGCACAUUCUUUCCCCAAUAACACUGCAUUCAUCGAUUUUCUUUAUCGUUAGUUCGGGAAUGCCUCAAUCUUGUAUAGGUUCCUGUAAUGAUAUUAAAAGCUAUGGAAGAUGCUGCACAGAUAUUUGAGAAGACAAAAAACACUGAUUGUAAACCCAACUUCUAGCUUUUAUUCAGAAAUUAUGUGGACCAAUAUACCCUAUCAUAUAAACA
Daphnia magna is the source of this 1188-nucleotide long non-coding RNA. RefSeq lists it as uncharacterized. The record is from RefSeq and is a predicted model, not a curated record. The transcript has 3 exons. Lineage: Eukaryota; Metazoa; Arthropoda; Branchiopoda; Diplostraca; Daphniidae.